This 262-nucleotide long non-coding RNA is filed under the name Brassica napus (rape). RNAcentral describes it as "long non-coding RNA (BNAP_LNC026501)". The record is from RNAcentral. Lineage: Eukaryota; Viridiplantae; Streptophyta; Magnoliopsida; Brassicales; Brassicaceae.
AGGCGUGGAUUUGCGAAAUUAUAUAAUAUCAAUUUUACAUUUUUUAGAAUAAACUUGUUUAGUGAAAUAAUAAUAAUAAUCUUUUUUAUGAUCUAGUCUUGUGUAUUUGAUCGCAUACACAAAAACAAAAAAUUGCUCAUAAGCUAUUCGAAUAAAUUUUGAUGUUUUUAAUAAUUUUAUAUUCUCCUUUCAGCAGAUUUUUGGAGCAAUCACAAUCUCCUUCCUCUGAGAUAGGAUAAAUGUUAAUGUUCUGGCCGAGUUA